This 363-nucleotide unclassified non-coding RNA is filed under the name uncultured bacterium. RNAcentral describes it as "contains 16S-23S intergenic spacer region". The record is from RNAcentral.
UCCCCGUUACCGGGGCAGUCUAGCUAGAAAAAUCCAACUAACUAUAAGGGUUGCGCUCGUUGAUGGACUUAACCAAACAUCUCACGACACGAGCUGACGACGGCCAUGCAUCACCUGUCACCUGAUUCCCGAAGGCACAGUCUCCUUUCGGAGACCUCUCAGGGAUGUCAAGCCUUGGUAAGGUUCUUCGCUUACUUUCGAAUUAAACAACACGCUCCACCGCUUGUGCGGGUCCCCGUCAAUUCCUUUAUGUUUUAAGCUUGCGCUCGUACUCCACAGGCGGGAUGCUUAACGCGUUAGCUUCGCUACUACCAGGGUCGAUACUGAUAACAGCUAGCAUCCAUAGUUUACGGCGUGGACUAC